UUAAAUUGAAGAGUUUGAUCAUGGCUCAGAUUGAACGCUGGCGGCAGGCCUAACACAUGCAAGUCGAACGGUAACAGGAAGCUU
Molecule: ribosomal RNA, 84 nt
Filed under: Escherichia coli
Lineage: Bacteria; Pseudomonadati; Pseudomonadota; Gammaproteobacteria; Enterobacterales; Enterobacteriaceae
Description: partial 16S ribosomal RNA
Rfam family: Bacterial small subunit ribosomal RNA
Source: RNAcentral